UUUGAUCUACGGGGGGCAGCAGUGGGGAAUAUUGGACAAUGGGGGGAACCCUGAUCCAGCGACGCCGCGUGAGUGAAGAAGUAUUUCGGUAUGUAAAGCUCUAUCAGCAGGGAAGAAAGAAAUGACGGUACCUGACUAAGAAGCCCCGGCUAACUACGUGCCAGCAGCCGCGGUAAUACGUAGGGGGCAAGCGUUAUUCGGAUUUACUGGGUGUAAGGGGAGCGUAGACGGCG
RNAcentral lists this ribosomal RNA (233 nucleotides) under uncultured bacterium. RNAcentral describes it as "partial 16S ribosomal RNA". It matches the Rfam family "Bacterial small subunit ribosomal RNA", at positions 331 to 580 of the family's 1533-position model. The record is from RNAcentral.